UGAAUACGAGAUGCUACGGCGUCGAAGCAGUCUAUGUCAUACUUCCAAGAAAAGCUUGCACUGUCAUAAACAAAUAAUGCCUGUACCAUAACCGACACAGGUGGGUAGGUAGAGUAUACUAAGGGGCGCGAGAUAACUCUCUCUAAGGAACUCGGCAAAAUGACUCCGUAACUUCGGGAGAAGGAGUGCCUUAUUUAUAAGGUUGCAAUAACAAGAUCCAAGCAACUGUUUACCAAAAACACAGGUCUCCGCUAAGUCGUAAGACGAUGUAUGGGGGCUGACGCCUGCCCAGUGCCAGAAGGUUAAAGAAGUUGGUUAGCAUCCGCGAAGCUGAUAACUGAAGCCCUGGUGAACGGCGGCCGUAACUAUAACGGUCCUAAGGUAGCGAAAUUCCUUGUCGGGUAAGUUCCGACCCGCACGAAAGGCGUAAUGAUUUGGAUACUGUCUCGGAGAGGGGCUCGGUGAAAUAGACUUGUCUGUGAAGAUGCGGACUACCUGCACCAGGACAGAAAGACCCUAUGAAGCUUUACUGUAACCUGAAAUUGAAAUUGGACUUUACUUGCGCAGUAUAGGUGGGAGGCGUUGAGAAUAUUCUUGCGGGAUUAUUGGAGCCAUCAGUGAGAUACCACUCUUGUAAUGUUAGAUUUCUAACUUUGUAUCAUUAUCUGGUCAAAGAACAGUUUCAGGCGGGCAGUUUGACUGGGGCGGUCGCCUCCUAAACGGUAACGGAGGCGCACAAAGGUUUCCUCUGAACGGGUAGAAAUCGUAUCUAGAGUGUAAAGGCAUAAGGAAGCUUGACUGUGAGACCUACAAGUCGUGCAGGGACGAAAGUCGGUCUUAGUGAUCUGACGGUGCUGAGUGGAAAGGCCGUCACUCAACGGAUAAAAGUUACUCUAGGAUAACAGGCUGAUCUCCCCCAAGAGUUCACAUCGACGGGGAGGUUUGGCACCUCGAUGUCGGCUCAUCGCAUCCUGGGGCGGUAGUACGUCCCAAGGGUUGGGCUGUUCGCCCAUGAAAGCGGUACGCGAGCUGGGUUCAGAACGUCGUGAGACAGUUCGGUCCAUAUCCGGUGUAGGCGUUAGAAUAUUGAGAGGAGCCUUCUUUAGUACGAGAGGACCGAGAAGGACAUACCUCUGGUGUACCAGUUAUCGUGCCAACGGUAAACGCUGGGUAGCUAUGUGUGGAGUGGAUAACCGCUGAAAGCAUCUAAGUGGGAAGCCCACCUCAAGAUAAGUA
RNAcentral lists this ribosomal RNA (1236 nucleotides) under metagenome. RNAcentral's name for it is "bacterial LSU rRNA". It matches the Rfam family "Bacterial large subunit ribosomal RNA", at positions 1564 to 2810 of the family's 2925-position model. The record is from RNAcentral.